Halichondria panicea is the source of this 430-nucleotide long non-coding RNA. RefSeq lists it as uncharacterized. The record is from RefSeq and is a predicted model, not a curated record. NCBI's taxonomy places the organism in Eukaryota, Metazoa, Porifera, Demospongiae, Suberitida, Halichondriidae. The transcript is spliced from 3 exons.
GGUGGGAUCAGAGUGUUUAUUGCUUAUUCAAUCUGAAGUCUUUACCAAAUCUACCCAUGCACUCUACUACAGGAUGUGUUUAUUAGUUGACUGAUGCUUACCAUUUUACAUACUGUACUAUUGUUAUUGACUUAAGGCACUUAAUAUGAUAGAGAGGUUGUUUUUUUUUCGGAGGUUAUAAUUAUAGUUUUUGGAGGAAAGUUCGAGGACGGAAGUUAUUAUUACAGUGUCCCUUUUCUCAAGGUACUAUGCAUGGGACUAAUGGUGUGAGGCUCUACUCUUAAGACCUGGAGGGUGGUCACACAGACCAGGAGAGUGCAGCUGGUAGAGCAGCACAUCCACAAAGUGGUGGACUUCUACAUCUCCCAGAGCCAGGCGGCCAACCAUGCAGUGAGAGAGAGGCAUGCAGCCUGCAUCUGUACUGCAGAGC